RNAcentral lists this transfer RNA (66 nucleotides) under Conocephalus maculatus (maculated rice katydid). RNAcentral describes it as "tRNA-Tyr". The record is from RNAcentral. Lineage: Eukaryota; Metazoa; Arthropoda; Insecta; Orthoptera; Tettigoniidae.
GGUAGGAUGCCUGAGGUAUAGGCGAUAAACUGUAAAUUUAUUCACGAGAACUUUUCUCUCCUACCA